AUUGAACGCUGGCGGCAUGCUUUACACAUGCAAGUCAAACGGUAACAGGCCUUCGGGUGCUGACGAGUGGCGAACGGGUGAGUAAUGCAUCGGAACGUGCCCAGAGGUGGGGGAUAACGCAGCGAAAGCUGUGCUAAUACCGCAUGUGAUCUGAGGAUGAAAGCGGGGGACCAAGCAGCAAUGUUUGGCCUCGCGCCUCUGGAGCGGCCGAUGUCAGAUUAGGUAGUUGGUGGGGUAAAGGCCUACCAAGCCGACGAUCUGUAGCUGGUCUGAGAGGACGACCAGCCACACUGGGACUGAGACACGGCCCAGACUCCUACGGGAGGCAGCAGUGGGGAAUUUUGGACAAUGGGCGCAAGCCUGAUCCAGCAAUGCCGCGUGCGGGAAGAAGGCCUUCGGGUUGUAAACUGCUUUUGUACGGAACGAAAAGGCUCUGGCUAAUACCUGGGGCUGAUGACGGUACCGUAAGAAUAAGCACCGGCUAACUACGUG
This 492-nucleotide ribosomal RNA is filed under the name uncultured bacterium. RNAcentral describes it as "partial 16S ribosomal RNA". It matches the Rfam family "Bacterial small subunit ribosomal RNA", at positions 30 to 507 of the family's 1533-position model. The record is from RNAcentral.